Long non-coding RNA from Dermochelys coriacea (leatherback sea turtle), 1195 nucleotides. RefSeq lists it as uncharacterized. The record is from RefSeq and is a predicted model, not a curated record. Lineage: Eukaryota; Metazoa; Chordata; Testudines; Dermochelyidae. The transcript is spliced from 2 exons.
CGAGGCCAGGGCAGCUGAUGCUCCAGCUACUGGCUCCGGGGCCGCCGCUUACCUCGGCCGCUGCCCAGCCACACGGUGGACGGCGCCUCGGGAAGCAGCGGGAAUCUGCCGCCGCCUGCUUGGCGCACAAGAUACUGCUACAACACAGCAACAUGACAGCUUCAGAACUGACAGAAGAGUACAAAGGAAAGUACUUCUUGUAGGUAGACUCAAAACCUACUUACAAAAAAUAAUAAUAAAAAACAAUGAAGGAUAUCAUUUUCUUGGGACUGAAUGAGAUGAAAAGGGAGCCUCCCUUGGUGGAGUACCUGAAGCAGGAGUGAAAGAGGAAAGGAGAAUGGAGGAGGAGGAGGAGGAUCACUUCAGACUGCUAUCAAGAGCAGCAAAGAAUACACAUGGACUGCACUUCAGGAAGAAAAUUAGAGAAUAAAGAAAAGCACUGAACAUGAAAAGGAAAUGAGACAACUGAAAAUGAAGCAACGUUCUACAGCCAUCUGUCAGAUGAUGAAAAAUGUUGGAGAAUAUAUGUUCACCAGUAUACUGGAAUCAAAAUGACAGGGCACCCAGGCAUUGCCUACCACCAACACUCCAACCGAUAUGACAGAUAUGACAAUAUCCUGGACAAACCUUAUGGAAUUAAGUUAAAGUAUUUUAGGAGAUCAUUAUGUUAAAAUACAAAUGUUUAUGUAUUAUCAUGGGAUGGUAUGUAACUUCUUUUAAUGGGGACACAAGACUAAUGUAAACACUGGGAAGUGUUAUGUGCUUCAAAGAACUCUUUUACAAUAGUGGAGCAGACAAAAUUGAACUUUUAGUUGAGCAGUGUUCCUAGGAAAUACUUGGGAAGAAGGGAAUGUAAAUUACUCACCUCUAGAGCCAUCCUUUUGAAGCUGCACCUUGAAGAGAAACCCAUUAUCUUACUAAUUACCUACUCUCAGUCUCUUCAAAGGCCUACUAAACUGGCUAAAGGAGGGACUCACAGGGGAGCUAGUUCUGAGCUAAUGUGGUUAGAAGCUGGUGACCACAGGAAAAAGCCCUGUGUGGGGUAUGAAGAACUAAUCACCACCACUAAUCACACCUUGUAGGAGUUAGGGUGAUCUCUAGUAAGCUUAUCAGCAUGUGUGUAGGUUCUCUUAUUGUUUUAACAUGUUUUCUCUGUAAUGUUUUUACCUUAAGAAUAAAAGUGGUUGCUUAGAAA